This 75-nucleotide transfer RNA is filed under the name Candidatus Yonathbacteria bacterium. RNAcentral's name for it is "tRNA-Arg". It matches the Rfam family "tRNA". Rfam says of the family: Transfer RNA (tRNA) molecules are approximately 80 nucleotides in length. Their secondary structure includes four short double-helical elements and three loops (D, anti-codon, and T loops). Further hydrogen bonds mediate the characteristic L-shaped molecular structure. tRNAs have two regions of fundamental functional importance: the anti-codon, which is responsible for specific mRNA codon recognition, and the 3' end, to which the tRNAs corresponding amino acid is attached (by aminoacyl-tRNA synthetases). tRNAs cope with the degeneracy of the genetic code in two manners: having more than one tRNA (with a specific anti-codon) for a particular amino acid; and 'wobble' base-pairing, i.e. permitting non-standard base-pairing at the 3rd anti-codon position. The record is from RNAcentral. Lineage: Bacteria; Candidatus Yonathiibacteriota.
GCCCCUGUAGCAUAAUGGAUAGUGCUGCGGACUUCUAAGCCGUAGAUCGAGGUUCGAUUCCUCGCGGGGGCACCA